CCUACGGGAGGCAGCAGUGGGGAAUCUUGCGCAAUGGGCGAAAGCCUGACGCAGCCAUGCCGCGUGAAUGAUGAAGGUCUUAGGAUUGUAAAAUUCUUUCACCGGGGACGAUAAUGACGGUACCCGGAGAAGAAGCCCCGGCUAACUUCGUGCCAGCAGCCGCGGUAAUACGAAGGGGGCUAGCGUUGCUCGGAAUUACUGGGCGUAAAGGGAGCGUAGGCGGAUAGUUUAGUCAGAGGUGAAAGCCCAGGGCUCAACCUUGGAAUUGCCUUUGAUACUGGCUAUCUUGAGUGUGGGAGAGGUAUGUGGAACUCCGAGUGUAGAGGUGAAAUUCGUAGAUAUUCGGAAGAACACCAGUGGCGAAGGCGACAUACUGGCCCAUUACUGACGCUGAGGCUCGAAAGCGUGGGGAGCAAACAGGAUUAGAUACCCUGGUAGUCCACGCUGUAAACGAUGAGUGCUAGUUGUCGGCAUGCAUGCAUGUCGGUGACGCAGCUACGCAUAAGACACUCCGCCGUCGGGGAGGUACGGUCGCGAAGAAUUAAAACUAACAAAUAGUAAGUUAGUACGGCGUGAGACGUGACCGAACGGACGACGACGAGGGAGGAGGG
This 611-nucleotide ribosomal RNA is filed under the name uncultured bacterium. RNAcentral describes it as "bacterial SSU rRNA". The stretch from base 1 to 516 matches the Rfam family "Bacterial small subunit ribosomal RNA", at positions 338 to 873 of the family's 1533-position model. The record is from RNAcentral.